CUGGGCAGUGAUUUUUUUUUCUUUGUGUUGAAGCGGGUCUGGAGCGGUGGAUUGUCCACGGGAUCCGGAUCGGGAGAGGGUCCUCGCCCCCUCGGGCGGCGAGCCGGGGGGGCCGGUCGGAUCAUUCUCUGCGGAGCGGGACCGACAAGAUCCAUGCGUUAGACCUGUGGUGAGAGAUUUAUUGGAAGAAAAGCCCACAACUGGAAGCAAACCACGACUGAAGACGAGGGAACAGCAACAAGUGAACCAGCCCGAGGACUGAGAGCAUCAACUGGAGAGAACCCAUCUGACUCGGAGAUUCCACUGAUUCAGUCAGGAGAAAGUUUGGAUGUCCCAGUUGGUGUUUUAGCGACCAGUGCUUGGAGCUCAGUUGUUCCCAAACUGUGUCAACAAUUUGGCUGACGGACCAAAUUAAACAUUUCCAAGUCAGCUCUUGGAAAAAAUGUA
Long non-coding RNA from Hypanus sabinus (Atlantic stingray), 447 nucleotides. RefSeq lists it as uncharacterized. The transcript has 3 exons. The record is from RefSeq and is a predicted model, not a curated record. NCBI's taxonomy places the organism in Eukaryota, Metazoa, Chordata, Chondrichthyes, Myliobatiformes, Dasyatidae.